AUUGAACGCUGGCGGCGUGCCUAACACAUGCAAGUCGAGCGGUAACAGGUGUAGCAAUACAUGCUGACGAGCGGCGAACGGGUGAGUAAUGCUUUGGAAUCUUCCCAGUAGUGGGGAAUAACCAGUCGAAAGAUUGGCUAAUACCGCAUACGUCUGUAAAGGGAAAGCGGGGGCUCGUAAGACCUCGCGCUAUUGGAUGAGCCAAAGUCGGAUUAGCUAGUUGGUGGGGUAAUGGCCUACCAAGGCGACAAUCCGUAGCUGGUCUGAGAGGACGACCAGCCACACCGGAACUGAGACACGGUCCGGACUCCUACGGGAGGCAGCAGUGGGGAAUAUUGGACAAUGGGGGAAACCCUGAUCCAGCGACGCCGCGUGUGUGAAGAAGGCCUGCGGGUUGUAAAGCACUUUUAGUGGGGACAAAAAGCUACGGACUAAUAUUCUGUGGUCUUGAUUUAACCCAAAGAAAAAGCACCGGCUAACUCUGUGCCAGCAGCCGCGGUAAUACAGAGGGUGCGAGCGUUAAUCGGAAUUACUGGGCGUAAAGCGCGCGUAGACGGUUUUGUAAGUCAGAUGUGAAAUCCCUGGGCUCAACCUGGGAACUGCAUUUGAGACUGCAU
This 617-nucleotide ribosomal RNA is filed under the name uncultured bacterium. Its description in RNAcentral is "bacterial SSU rRNA". It matches the Rfam family "Bacterial small subunit ribosomal RNA", at positions 28 to 638 of the family's 1533-position model. The record is from RNAcentral.